This 460-nucleotide ribosomal RNA is filed under the name uncultured bacterium. RNAcentral's name for it is "partial 16S ribosomal RNA". It matches the Rfam family "Bacterial small subunit ribosomal RNA", at positions 338 to 795 of the family's 1533-position model. The record is from RNAcentral.
CCUACGGGAGACAGCAGUGAGGAAUAUUGGUCAAUGGACGAGAGUCUGAACCAGCCAAGUAGCGUGAAGGAUGACUGCCCUAUGGGUUGUAAACUUCUUUUAUAUGGGAAUAAAAUGUUCCACGUGUGGGAUUUUGUAUGUACCAUAUGAAUAAGGAUCGGCUAACUCCGUGCCAGCAGCCGCGGUAAUACGGAGGAUCCGAGCGUUAUCCGGAUUUAUUGGGUUUAAAGGGAGCGUAGGUGGAUUGUUAAGUCAGUUGUGAAAGUUUGCGGCUCAACCGUAAAAUUGCAGUUGAAACUGGCAGUCUUGAGUACAGGAGAGGUGGGCGGAAUUCGUGGUGUAGCGGUGAAAUGCUUAGAUAUCACGAAGAACUCCGAUUGCGAAGGCAGUUCACUGGACUGCAACUGACACUGAGGCUCGAAAGUGUGGGUAUCAAACAGGAUUAGAUACCCUAGUAGUC